UACGUAGGAUGCAAGCGUUGUCCGGUUUUAUUGGGUUUAAAGGGGGGGUAGGCGGCCUAUUAAGUUAGUGGUGAAAACGUUCGGCUUAACCGGAUACCCGCCAUUGAUACUGAUAGACUUGAGUGCGACAGAGGGUGUUGGAAUGUGUGGUGUAGAGGUGAAAUGCUUAGAUAUCACGCAGAACACCAAUUGCGAAGGCAGAUGCCUAUGUAGUAACUGACGCUGAGGCACGAAAGCGUGGGGAGCAAACAGG
This 253-nucleotide ribosomal RNA is filed under the name uncultured bacterium. RNAcentral's name for it is "partial 16S ribosomal RNA". It matches the Rfam family "Bacterial small subunit ribosomal RNA", at positions 524 to 776 of the family's 1533-position model. The record is from RNAcentral.